GUACACGCUGUGACUAGCAUAUCAAUAAGCGGAGGAAAAGAAACUAACAAGGAUUCCCCUAGUAACGGCGAGUGAAGCGGGAAGAGCUCAAAUUUGAAAUCUUAAAGGGUUUCCCUUUACGAAUUGUAGUUUAAAGAAGUGUUUUCUGUUGAGGUUUUGGUAAAAGUUCUUUGGAAUAGGACAUCAUAGAGGGUGAGAAUCCCGUAUUUGACCUUUACUUUCAACUUUGUGAUACACUUUCAAAGAGUCGGAUUGUUUGGGAAUGCAGUCCAAAAUGGGUGGUAAAUUUCAUCUAAAGCUAAAUAUUGGCGAGAGACCGAUAGCGAACAAGUACCGUGAGGGAAAGAUGAAAAGAACUUUGAAAAGAGAGUUAAACAGUACGUGAAAUUGUCAAAAGGGAAGCGUUUGACACCAGUGUUGUUUUUCUGAAAAUCAAUUAAAGAACUGUUUAUGCUAAGUUGUUUAGACUUUAUCAGCUAACUGUAUUAGUUUUGAGCUUUUCUUUAAUGCACUUUUCAGUUAACAAGUCAACAUCAAUUUCUUUUGCUGUAAAAAAGCUUGAGGAAGGUGGCUUGAGAUUCGUCUUAAGUGUUUAUAGCCUCUUGCCUAUGCAGUCGGAGAGAUUGAGGUCUGCAGCGUAGAUCCUUCGGGGCUAAAUGCAUUUGUGCUAAGUUAUAGCAUUUUAUAGACAACUUGUUGACUAUGAUUUGUCUUGUAGCUUACUCGCUUAUGUUAUUUUACCUACGCUUAGGAUGUUGAAGAUGUAGCACAUCAU
This 775-nucleotide ribosomal RNA is filed under the name uncultured Neocallimastigales. RNAcentral describes it as "partial large subunit ribosomal RNA". It matches the Rfam family "Eukaryotic large subunit ribosomal RNA", at positions 22 to 635 of the family's 3401-position model. Lineage: Eukaryota; Fungi; Neocallimastigomycota; Neocallimastigomycetes; Neocallimastigales. The record is from RNAcentral.